GAUGAACGCUGGCGGCGUGCCUAACACAUGCAAGUCGAGCGAUCUUCUUCGGAAGAGAGCGGCGGACGGGUGAGUAACGCGUGGGUAACCUGCCCUAUACACACGGAUAACAUACCGAAAGGUAUGCUAAUACGAGAUAAUAUGCUUUUGUCGCAUGGCAGAAGUAUCAAAGCUCCGGCGGUAUAGGAUGGACCCGCGUCUGAUUAGCUAGUUGGUAAGGUAACGGCUUACCAAGGCGACGAUCAGUAGCCGACCUGAGAGGGUGAUCGGCCACAUUGGAACUGAGACACGGUCCAAACUCCUACGGGAGGCAGCAGUGGGGAAUAUUGCACAAUGGGCGAAAGCCUGAUGCAGCAACGCCGCGUGAGCGAUGAAGGCCUUCGGGUCGUAAAGCUCUGUCCUCAAGGAAGAUAAUGACGGUACUUGAGGAGGAAGCCCCGGCUAACUACGUGCCAGCCGCCGCCGUAA
This 468-nucleotide ribosomal RNA is filed under the name uncultured bacterium. Its description in RNAcentral is "partial 16S ribosomal RNA". It matches the Rfam family "Bacterial small subunit ribosomal RNA", at positions 28 to 523 of the family's 1533-position model. The record is from RNAcentral.